GAACAACCAAUCAAGACAAGCAUGUGAGAAAGCACUUGAGGUUGCGAUCGACUCAAGGUCGCUGCGCCUUCACUUCGAGGACGAUGCCACACCCCCAACACCACGAAGCCAACAUUGAGAAGGUCUAAAUGUUUAGACUUCAGCUUCAUAUAUUCAGAGAAAAAGGACACGAGUUCGAAGGACAUCUACUUUUUCCUGAAUACCAAGCCAUAUAUCAUGGAGAACGAUGGUAUGGCCUGUUAGCUUGCAGCAAUCUAAUUGGUAAAAAAUAAAUAACUUUAAUUUAGUAACUGGACCUUGUGCAUACUGUAUGUUUCAUAUAAAUAGUGAGAAUUAUGCAGUCCUAAGUAUAAUAAAGCAAGGCUGGUCUACAAGUCGUAUGGAGAUAGAGGGUGUACCCUUAAAACUGAGAGAGAAAACAUGAAUGAUCUAGUUUUUUUUUCGAACUACAAGGAUAUCACCACAUGCAAAUGUAUCCAAUGUGAAUGCAAACGACAGAUAAAAAGCACUGAAGAUCUGUUUGUUGGAUAAAAUGCAAAAACCAAUGUCGUAAAAACACGUUAUCAAUAUGGUGAUCAUACUUAACGCAUAUAUGUUGAAGCUAACAUAGUGCGUCGACACGGUAUGAUUUGUGGGAUUACCUUAAUUUUCAAAGUUGUGGUCUUGUUACAUGAAAAAACUUCAACAUUUGCCAGGGGCUACCAUUAAUUCUGUAGCUGUAUACAAGGAAAAUAUAUAUUAGAAUCAAGGAAAGAAGGUAGAGGACGCAGUUCAGUUUGGUGACUGGCUAAACAAUCAACUUUAAAUUAAAUAUCCUUUCAUGCUUUGUUACACUUCCUUUGUACAUUACUUCUGCAAUCUUUUUUAGAGCACAUACUUGUGUAAUCAUCAGUGAAAGUGAAACUUGACAAUCGUGCUCGAUCAAUCUUACAUACUCUGAACAUCGGUCCAUUUGUUCACUGCUUGUUGAUCAUCUGUGCAAGUGCAAACUACAGAGCUCUUGGAAUGUAAAACUUGUGUCUUGUGACCAUGGCCAAUUUUGUGCAUUACUCAGAAUGUACCAAAUUCAGUUGUAUCUACAGCUCUAAAACACCAACAUACAUAAUAAAUUCAUAUCAAAUUCAGUUGUAAUAAUCCAUAAAAAGCACAGGUCUUGAUAGCUACAUGGGUUGUAAAGAAACAUAAGAAACAAUGCCAGUUCAAUUCUACCUGGCGCUCUCAAACGACAACUUACCCUUGGUAAAACAGCUCAUGAAAGAGAUAAGCAUUGAAUUCAAAUCUACAGCAGCCAAGCAAAACUCACCUCACCACACCAAAAGGCUUUCCUUCCACGGCCAAACAUUUUGCCAAAGCAAAAGUGAACAUCAUUAGCUGGGCAGCAGCAGAGGAAGCAGCGAACAAGUUAAUCAGUAUGUUCCUUUUAUUACUCAACCAUCUACUUGCAAAUCAACACCUGCUGCACAUGAGGACAGAGUUUUGAGAUAAAGUUAGAAACUAAGCAUCUGAGAUCAGCAAUAACAAGCAAAAUUCAUAAUCUAAUGAACUGAUCAGCAUAAGAAUCACCUGUGAUGUGUAUGAACCAACCUGAAUUGAUGAAAUAUGGAGGAACUCACUCAAAAGGCUUGCAUGUCUGCAUUUCAUCAAACACAAGGUAUACACAGUCAAGUAAGAUUAAAAUCUAGAAGUCAUGGCACGAAACUAUUGGUUCCAAUUGAAGCAAGAUAGCACAAAAAAAAAAUUGUCCUUCCCAGAUUCAUAUCCCUUUCCGCCUCCUCUUCCUCCCCGCUCUCACCGGCAGUACAUACGGCUAGCGGCUAAUAACCACGGAGGGGGCAGCAUGGGAAGGCGUGGGAAGGGCCGAAGGGGGUUCUCACCUCGGCUCGACGACUUCGUCGGUCGCUGUUGAGGCGUCUUAUGAUGCAGCCUGGUGCUCCUCUACACGAUGGUGACAACGAGCUCCUCGGGUUAGAGGCUUAGAGCAGUUUUGCAAGCGGCAGCCUCCGAUGUGGAUGCGUGAGCUCAGGAGCAGCGACACAGACAGAAGCUACGCCCUUCCGGUCGGACACGAACGGCACCAGAAACAGCAGCAAGCCAGCAACCAACCCGCAAGAGAAGAAGGAGGUAUGGCAGGGGGGCGCAUCGACCUAGUCCGGCUUGACCUCGUCCUCCUGCGGCUUCCUCGUGACGAGAGCUCGCGGCGCUGCCUGCCUUGCUGUCGGCGCCAUGGUGAAGAGCUGGGCCACGCCUUGCUAUGAGGUAGCAAUCAAGAGGAGAAGAUAUGUGGGAGAAGCCGGCCUUCCUUCGGUGCCCGGUGCCGGAGGAGAGAUGGGGCGGCGGCGGCGGCGGCAACCCUAGCUUCGGGAAGUGGAAAGGCAAAAGGAGAGAGGAGGCUGCGGUGAGAGAUGAAAAAGAGCCCCUGCCGG
RNAcentral lists this long non-coding RNA (2423 nucleotides) under Triticum aestivum (bread wheat). RNAcentral's name for it is "long non-coding RNA (TAES_LNC028648)". Lineage: Eukaryota; Viridiplantae; Streptophyta; Magnoliopsida; Poales; Poaceae. The record is from RNAcentral.